AACUUUCUAAAAAGUUCGUGAUGAGACAGACAAUAUAUUGAGCCAACAAUGAAUGUACGGGAGGCUGAUGCUGCUUUUCGGUGCAAUCUUUCUAGGUUAAAGAAUGCCAUAGGAUGCAGCUCUGAUGUUCCAUUGGAACAGAAAGCCACCCACCUGUUUAAUACAGGUUCAAUUCAUUUGUCUCAAACGGCUUAUUUGGUUUUCUU
This 206-nucleotide non-coding RNA is filed under the name Acidobacteriota bacterium. Its description in RNAcentral is "Acidobacteria bacterium (activated sludge metagenome) 6S RNA". It matches the Rfam family "6S / SsrS RNA". Rfam says of the family: E. coli 6S RNA was the first non coding RNA to be sequenced, but its function was unknown until recently. The record is from RNAcentral. Lineage: Bacteria; Pseudomonadati; Acidobacteriota.